GAGUUUGAUCAUGGCUCAGAGUGAACGCUGGCGGCGUGCCUAAUACAUGCAAGUCGAACGAUGAAGCUUCUAGCUUGCUAGAAGUGGAUUAGUGGCGCACGGGUGAGUAAUGCAUAGGUAACAUGCCCUUUAGUCUGGGAUAGCCACUGGAAACGGUGAUUAAUACUAGAUACUCCCUACGGGGGAAAGUUUUUCGCUAAAGGAUUGGCCUAUGUCCUAUCAGCUUGUUGGUGAGGUAAUGGCUCACCAAGGCUAUGACGGGUAUCCGGCCUGAGAGGGUGAUCGGACACACUGGAACUGAGACACGGUCCAGACUCCUACGGGAGGCAGCAGUAGGGAAUAUUGCUCAAUGGGGGAAACCCUGAAGCAGCAACGCCGCGUGGAGGAUGAAGGUUUUCGGAUUGUAAACUCCUUUUGUUAGAGAAGAUAAUGACGGUAUCUAACGAAUAAGCACCGGCUAACUCCGUGCCAGCAGCCGCGGUAAUACGGAGGGUGCAAGCGUUACUCGGAAUCACUGGGCGUAAAGAGCGCGUAGGCGGGGUAGCAAGUCAGAUGUGAAAUCCUAUGGCUUAACUAUAGAACUGCAUUUGAAACUGUUACUCUAGAGUAUGGGAGAGGUAGGUGGAAUUCUUGGUGUAGGGGUAAAAUCCGUAGAGAUCAAGAGGAAUACUCAUUGCGAAGGCGACCUGCUGGAACAUUACUGACGCUGAUGCGCGAAAGCGUGGGGAGCAAACAGGAUUAGAUACCCUGGUAGUCCACGCCCUAAACGAUGAAUGCUAGUUGUUGUGAGGCUUGUCCUUGCAGUAAUGCAGCUAACGCAUUAAGCAUUCCGCCUGGGGAGUACGGUCGCAAGAUUAAAACUCAAAGGAAUAGACGGGGACCCGCACAAGCGGUGGAGCAUGUGGUUUAAUUCGAAGAUACGCGAAGAACCUUACCUAGGCUUGACAUUGAUAGAAUCUACUAGAGAUAGUGGAGUGCCCUUUUAGGGAGCUUGAAAACAGGUGCUGCACGGCUGUCGUCAGCUCGUGUCGUGAGAUGUUGGGUUAAGUCCCGCAACGAGCGCAACCCUCGUCCUUAGUUGCUAGCAGUUUGGCUGAGCACUCUAAGGAGACUGCCUUCGUAAGGAGGAGGAAGGUGAGGAUGACGUCAAGUCAUCAUGGCCCUUACGCCUAGGGCUACACACGUGCUACAAUGGGGUGCACAAAGAGAAGCAAUACUGCGAAGUGGAGCCAAUCUCUAAAACAUCUCUCAGUUCGGAUUGUAGUCUGCAACUCGACUACAUGAAGCUGGAAUCGCUAGUAAUCGUGAAUCAGCCAUGUCACGGUGAAUACGUUCCCGGGUCUUGUACUCACCGCCCGUCACACCAUGGGAGUUGUAUUCGCCUUAAGUCGGAAUACUAAACUAGUUACCGCCCACGGCGGAUGCAGCGACUGGGGUGAAGUCGUAACAAGGU
RNAcentral lists this ribosomal RNA (1453 nucleotides) under Helicobacter canadensis. RNAcentral describes it as "bacterial SSU rRNA". It matches the Rfam family "Bacterial small subunit ribosomal RNA". The record is from RNAcentral. Lineage: Bacteria; Pseudomonadati; Campylobacterota; Epsilonproteobacteria; Campylobacterales; Helicobacteraceae.